This 74-nucleotide transfer RNA is filed under the name Araneus ventricosus. Its description in RNAcentral is "tRNA-Ile". Lineage: Eukaryota; Metazoa; Arthropoda; Arachnida; Araneae; Araneidae. The record is from RNAcentral.
UGGCCCCUGGGGGCAUCGAACCCACGACCUUCGCGUUAUUAGCACGACCCUCUAACCAACUGAUCUGAUGAUCC